Xiphophorus couchianus (Monterrey platyfish) is the source of this 2645-nucleotide long non-coding RNA. RefSeq lists it as uncharacterized. NCBI's taxonomy places the organism in Eukaryota, Metazoa, Chordata, Actinopteri, Cyprinodontiformes, Poeciliidae. The transcript has 2 exons. The record is from RefSeq and is a predicted model, not a curated record.
AAGAUUAACACAAAUAAAUGUAUAAAACAAAGUACGAGAAUUCACCUAGAUUAUUAAACAAAAAGAAAAAAAAGAUUGCUGGUAACAGCUUAAACAUAUCUCUUAAACAUUGAUUAAAUUACUUUUUCAACUUACCAUCAUAGGUAAAUGAGUUUUAGUGUCACAUACUGCAACUGUCACCGCUUACAAAGAGUUAUAAAUAUAUGGUUAAUGUUGAGGACACAGGCAUGCAGUCAUACUGUAUGUCAAACAUACAAGAGGUGCUAACAACACAUACAAACACGUCAGGUGAAAACAAGCUGCAGUGGAAAACAGCCACAUUACCAACAAGUAUAAACUGAACUAAGAAUCUACUGCUUGACAAAUGGAAAGAUGGAAUUAAUGGCAAAAUUUUACAACGUUCAGGGGUGAACUGAUUAUCUAGCCAUAUUUAUGCUUCAUUGCAGAAAAAUAAACAAUGCAAAAAUUUUAUCCGUUUUCUAAAGUCCUCCGUAGGUAAUAAAUCUUUCUGGCACGAGGUGCUAGAUCUGAAAACCUUUGCCUCCAAAUCAAGUAAGGUGGUGAUGAUAUUCACAAUAUAUACCAUGCGCCAAAAUGGGACUUCAAAAAUAACACAUUUGUUUAAUACCAAUAUUCAUAUUUCUCACUAAAGCAGAAACAAUCUAAUUUUUAUUUUCUAUGUUUAUCCCAUUUCCAUUUCAUCAUAAUUAUCUUUUGUUUUGUUAGGUGGGAACAUUUAUGGACACAUUUAGAAGUCGCUUAGGGUAAAGAGAUGUAUAACAUCCACAUAUUUUCCAGAAAACUAAAAUUCAGUUGGUGUUUGCAUACAUUAAAUUGAGGGAAAAGUUUGGAUCGAACACCUUGUGCCUGACAAAUUGACAAUUGACUAAUCAGCUGCCCUAUUUUAAUGAUGAUUUAUACUACCAUGCUUUCCAAAGCAGUGCACCCCUGCCUGCAGUAAAACACACACAAACACUGAACAAUUAAGGACAUGUCAAUUAAAAGUAAGAGAGGACAUUGUCCAUCAACAUUAGUGAUGCACCAAUCAAUUAUCCAGACAGAGAAAUGAGACCAAUUUACAUUGAUUGGCUCAUUGAUUGGUUUGUUUUGCAUCUGCAUCAAAUGAAUCAAAACAGAAAUGACCAACUUUAUCCCCAUUUACAAAUGCAUCAACAUAUUGUGAUUCUAAUUGAGUCAUCUUUACCGAGUUACCGAGCAAAACUCAAAUUUAUUGGUCAGACCUCGAAAGAGAAGAAAGUUUGUCAGUGAAUGCCUGAUUGGUGUAUCUCAUUGAAAUGUUGAAGGGAAUCCAGUAUUAGAUCAGUCUGAGGCUCUAAGGGACCAAACAAAAAGUCCAAUGUGAAAAUGACUUUUGAGUCAACUACCUGUUCCCAUCUUUCUAGGUUUAUCCUAAAAAGGUGUGCAGUCAGAGUUGAAUGGAAAAUUAGUUGUUUGGGUUGGAACAUGUAAAUGAACAUAAAAUAUUGGAUUCCAUUCAUGGCAUUUAAAAAUGGAAAACACAUGGAAUAUCGAGUGCCAAAAGUGCCAUAAUGUAAAACAAAAAUAACUAAUCAAAUCAAUAUUUAUAUGUGAAAAUUGGAAUAAAAUUAAAAGUGUUCUUUAAUUAAGCACUAACAAAAUGAAUCUAUACAUAACUAAUGCAUAACAUAAUACAUACUGAUAUUUAUAAAAACAAUUCGAUUCAACAGUAAUCAAAAUUAUGAGAUAUUAUAAGAUAAGAUAAAAAUACAAUUUUAAUUCAGUAUGCAUUAAAUUAUAUAAUAUUUGUUGAAAAGUGAAUUUAUCUUAGGCUUCAGCAAGUUUAAUAGGGAGGGCUAACAGAGCCGCAGAGCCUAACAACCAAUCAAAUGUUAGGCAGAAUCUGACAUCAUGAUGACAUCAUUUCUACUUUCUAAAUACCAGAAUAACAAGGGAGCAUUGAUUAAGAAUUGUUUAUUAGCCUCAAUUUCUGAAGUUUAACCACGCUAAAAUUAUAAUGCCUUUAAAUACUUUGAGAGAACAUAGAUGAUGAUGUUUUAAUUACAUUUGGGAAAGUAUUUUAAGGCCACACAAUGUGCUAUGGUGUGGGAUUUGUGCAUGAUGAGAUCAAAAGCAAAGGACCUUGUGAAGAUAAUGGCUUACGCUGGGGAGAGUCCUUAACCAAGACAAAUUAAGUCACAGGCCUUGCAAGUUAAAAGGGCGCUAAGCAACAUAGAAAUCAAGAUUACAGUUUGCAAGUCAGAUCAGGGACAGCAACCUUAAAGUGAAAUUAGAAUCCAAAUCAACUUGUUGUUGCUGAUAGACUGUCCUGUGGUCUAAUGAAACUAAAAGUGGAGUGUUGGGUAACAUAAAAUUUGGGGGUAAAGGGUGAACUUUCAAAUUCCUCAUUAAACUGGCAUUUAGAGAAGAGAAGUUAUUUGGUCAUUCUGACUAACUUAGCACAGAAAAAUUAAAUUGUGAAAUCAAACUUAGAAAAAUAUUUUGAUUUGUCUUGCUAAAGAUCUGGUUUCAAUUCAUAUUUAGUAGAUAAACUAUGUAGUUGUUGGAUUGUGCUCCUUUUGACCCCCGAUAAUGGUGGAAGCGCACGCGAGGUGCGAACAUGAACGAUGGACAAUCCCCUCUCAACAGAGUCAUCAUCAUUAAAA